RNAcentral lists this long non-coding RNA (270 nucleotides) under Hordeum vulgare. Its description in RNAcentral is "long non-coding RNA (HVUL_LNC020032)". The record is from RNAcentral. Lineage: Eukaryota; Viridiplantae; Streptophyta; Magnoliopsida; Poales; Poaceae.
UCAUCCCUCGAACCAAACCAAGAUAUCCACGCCGGUGAAGGCGGGCGGUUUUUUCCGUGGUUUCACGGAGCUCUCAUCUUCGGGUCAGCAUUGUUCACCGCGGCGAUUUCAGAGGGACUCUUUGUCUCCUGGUCGACACUGUUCGUUACGGUGGUUUCAUGUGGCUUUUAUCUCUAGGUCGACAUUGUUUACAAUAGCGUUUCUUAUAUUUAUGUAUAGAGAAAGUAUGGUUUAGCUCUCGAUCAAAUAUUUUGGGAGUGAAUGUUUGAU